Molecule: ribosomal RNA, 253 nt
Filed under: uncultured bacterium
Lineage: Bacteria
Description: partial 16S ribosomal RNA
Rfam family: Bacterial small subunit ribosomal RNA
Source: RNAcentral
GACAGAGGAUGCAAGCGUUAUCCGGAAUCAUUGGGCGUAAAGCGCGCGUAGGUGGCUUCGUAAGUCCGUUGUGAAAGUCAAAGGCUCAACCUUUGAAUGUCAGCGGAUACUGCCGGGCUAGAGUCCGGAAGAGGCGAGUGGAACUCCUGGUGUAGCGGUGGAAUGCGCAGAUAUCAGGAAGAACACCAACGGCGAAGGCAGCUCGCUGGGACGGAACUGACGCUGAGGCGCGAAAGCGUGGGGAGCGAACAGG